GACGAACGCUGGCGGCGUGCCUAAUACAUGCAAGUAGAACGCUGAAGAGAGGAGCUUGCUCUUCUUGGAUGAGUUGCGAACGGGUGAGUAACGCGUAGGUAACCUGCCUGGUAGCGGGGGAUAACUAUUGGAAACGAUAGCUAAUACCGCAUGAUAUUAAUUGUCGCAUGAUAAUUAAUUGAAAGAUGCAAUUGCAUCACUACCAGAUGGACCUGCGUUGUAUUAGCUAGUUGGUGAGGUAACGGCUCACCAAGGCGACGAUACAUAGCCGACCUGAGAGGGUGAUCGGCCACACUGGGACUGAGACACGGCCCAGACUCCUACGGGAGGCAGCAGUAGGGAAUCUUCGGCAAUGGGGGGAACCCUGACCGAGCAACGCCGCGUGAGUGAAGAAGGUUUUCGGAUCGUAAAGCUCUGUUGUAAGAGAAGAACGGGUGUGAGAGUGGAAAGUUCACACUGG
This 460-nucleotide ribosomal RNA is filed under the name Streptococcus sanguinis. RNAcentral's name for it is "bacterial SSU rRNA". It matches the Rfam family "Bacterial small subunit ribosomal RNA", at positions 28 to 472 of the family's 1533-position model. The record is from RNAcentral. Lineage: Bacteria; Bacillati; Bacillota; Bacilli; Lactobacillales; Streptococcaceae.